AGACUUUGAUCCUGGCUCAGGGUGAACGCUGGCGGCGUGCUUAACACAUGCAAGUCGAGCGAAGCACUUAUCAUUGACUCUUCGGAAGAUUUGAUAUUUGACUGAGCGGCGGACGGGUGAGUAACGCGUGGGUAACCUGCCUCAUACAGGGGAAUAACAGUUAGAAAUGGCUGCUAAUGCCGCAUAAGCGCACAGGACCGCAUGGUCUGGUGUGAAAAACUGAGGUGGUAUGAGAUGGACCCGCGUCUGAUUAGGUAGUUGGUGGGGUAACGGCCUACCAAGCCGACGAUCAGUAGCCGGCCUGAGAGGGUGAACGGCCACAUUGGGACUGAGACACGGCCCAGACUCCUACGGGAGGCAGCAGUGGGGAAUCUUCCGCAAUGGGCGAAAGCCUGACGGAGCAACGCCGCGUGAACGAUGAAGGUCUUAGGAUCGUAAAGUUCUGUUGUUAGGGACGAAGGGUAAGAAUCAUAAUAAGGUUUUUAUUUGACGGUACCUAACGAGGAGGCCACGGCUAACUACGUGCCAGCAGCCGCGGUAAUACGUAGGCGGCAAGCGUUGUCCGGAAUUAUUGGGCGUAAAGGGAGCGCAGGCGGGAAACUAAGCGGAUCUUAAAAGUGCGGGGCUCAACCCCGUGAUGGGGUCCGAACUGAUUUUCUUGAGUGCAGGAGAGGAAAGCGGAAUUCCCAGUGUAGCGGUGAAAUGCGUAGAUAUUGGGAAGAACACCAGUGGCGAAGGCGGCUUUCUGGACUGUAACUGACGCUGAGGCUCGAAAGCUAGGGUAGCGAACGGGAUUAGAUACCCCGGUAGUCCUAGCCGUAAACGAUGGAUACUAGGUGUGGGAGGCAUCGACCCCUUCCGUGCCGGAGUUAACGCAAUAAGUAUCCCGCCUGGGGAGUACGGCCGCAAGGUUGCAACUCAAAGGAAUUGAU
This 932-nucleotide ribosomal RNA is filed under the name uncultured bacterium. RNAcentral's name for it is "bacterial SSU rRNA". It matches the Rfam family "Bacterial small subunit ribosomal RNA", at positions 8 to 914 of the family's 1533-position model. The record is from RNAcentral.